Molecule: long non-coding RNA, 1062 nt
Organism: Arvicola amphibius (Eurasian water vole)
Lineage: Eukaryota; Metazoa; Chordata; Mammalia; Rodentia; Cricetidae
Exons: 3
Source: RefSeq, a predicted model, not a curated record
CCGCAUCCCGGCCAUCAUGAUUGGCCACGCUACCUGGGAAGGUAAAAAAUAAUAGAAAUUAGAUGAUAAUUUGAUUGUACCAAUGGUGUUUUCCAGAAGGAGCCACUGAAAGGGAGCAGAUUAACUGCUGAACAAUCCAGGAUAGCGAGGUGCUGAUGCCAUUAAAACAGCGGUUGUGUUCUGAGGAAAGAGCCAAGCCAUUAGACUCCCAGUGACACAGCAGAACAAACACUGCUUCUUCAGGACUCCAAGAGAUGGCUUUGUCCACUCAGACCAGAGGGAAGCCCCUGCUAAAGGGAAACAUCUGGGAUGUGACUCACAGUGGGGACACGAAGACUACUGGUGGGUCAAGGGAAGCAAUGACACCAUUACCUGAAAAUGAGGUUAUGAGGUUAUGCCAUAUACCACAUCAUCAUUUAGAGAAGGAACAAGAGAACUGACACAAUGUGCUUAGCUCUGGGUUUUGCUGACUUGAGUACAGGAAGCCAAGUGAAUGGGGGGGGCAGGUUUACUGACCAUACUAUUGUCAAGCAGAUGCAAACAAAGUGGUGAGAAAAUUAACACUCAAUUCAUUUGGGAAGAGAAUCAUCAAAGCACUGGCACCCAUGAAGAUGCCAGGCUGAUGAAUGCUAAGACGGGUGCUAUAAUUUGAACCACAGGACUAUAGAAAGGAAAGCCAGGAUGGUGGGAGUCACACCCACCACAGAAUACUUUUGUUCAAGAGUUAACUAAGCUUGUGCAACACCUUCAGUGGUGAGCACAAAGAAUUUGUAACUGAUAUGUCUGUUCAGUUUUACCAUGUCAGAAAAUGUUCUUGUUGUUGUUUUUUUAAUCUUCAUAUUUCAAAGAUAUUUUUCUGGGCCUAUUUUUCAGGGAUCUCCUGAGGAACCCAACCAAUAGUAUAUACAUAGCUCUUUAAGGGAACUUACUAUGGGAAUCAGCUUAUGAGACUAAGUAGGUCAUGAAGUCCCAUAAUAUUCUAUUUGAAAGAUGCAUAACCAGGAAAGCUGGUGAUGCAAUUCUGUUGGGGAAUAUUAUUUUCAGAUGUGUUAUUUUUGUUUA